RNAcentral lists this long non-coding RNA (579 nucleotides) under Equus caballus (horse). RNAcentral's name for it is "lncRNA (ENSECAG00000057069.1)". Lineage: Eukaryota; Metazoa; Chordata; Mammalia; Perissodactyla; Equidae. The record is from RNAcentral.
CAGGCCAAGGAUGGGAGAGGUUCGGGCAGCCUGUACAUAGCGAAGCCCUGACCCUCUGGGGUGAAGGAUCUGAAGAAAAAGGAGAGAGCAGAGGAGAGGCAGGAUGCCGAAGAGAUCCAGGCCCUCACAGCCACCUCUGCCAGAGCUGCUCCAUGCUCAGUCCAGGGGUGAAGAAAGCAGAGGAUCACAGGGACCGGGGCUGGGGCUGGACAGGGACCGGCACUGGGGCUGGAUGGCACCAAGAGAACGCCCACUGCCAGAGACAGAACUGCUCUGGAGUCUCGACUCCUCUCGAUCCGUGAGGCCAGGGAUCAGACACCGGCUGAGGUCGCCGGGAGGACACUGUCCCCAGCUCUCUUCAAACAGAGAAUGCAUUCAGAGAAUAAACAAGACCCAAGAAAGCGCAGUGUUCACUUUGGAUUGAGCAGAAAUGGCAUUCCGAGGCAGGGGACCUCUUCCCAGCCCAGAGAGAGAGGAGGCAGUGGGCUCAGAGCUCAGACUUGUUUCCUUUUCCUGGAAGAAGCUUCCAGCUCCUGGGCUCCCGCUUACUCAGGCCGCCCCCACCACGUGAGAACUCAG